This 105-nucleotide small nucleolar RNA is filed under the name Triticum aestivum (bread wheat). RNAcentral describes it as "Small nucleolar RNA snoR77". It matches the Rfam family "Small nucleolar RNA snoR77". The record is from Rfam by way of RNAcentral. Lineage: Eukaryota; Viridiplantae; Streptophyta; Magnoliopsida; Poales; Poaceae.
AGUAGUUCGGGCCAACAGACUUUAGUUUGGAGAGUAAAUCUUCUGAUCUUCAGAUUAUCUGUGGGGAAGGCUCCUUGAAGCUGGUCUAGUAGUCUUAAGAACAUU